AUGCAAGUCGACGGAGAAGAGAGAAGCUUGCUUAGCUCUUACUUAGUGGCGGACGGGUGAGUAACGCGUGAGUAACCUGCCUUUCAGAGGGGGAUAACGUUCUGAAAAGAACGCUAAUACCGCAUGAUAUAUUGGGGUCGCAUGGCCUUGGUAUCAAAGGAGCAAUCCGCUGAAAGAUGGACUCGCGUCCGAUUAGCCAGUUGGCGGGGUAAAGGCCCACCAAAGCGACGAUCGGUAGCCGGGUUGAGAGACUGAACGGCCACAUUGGGACUGAGACACGGCCCAGACUCCUACGGGAGGCAGCAGUGGGGGAUAUUGCACAAUGGAGGAAACUCUGAUGCAGCAAUGCCGCGUGAGGGAAGACGGUCUUCGGAUUGUAAACCUCUGUCCUUGGUGAAGAUAAUGACGGUAGCCAAGGAGGAAGCUCCGGCUAACUACGUGCCAGCAGCCGCGGUAAUACGUAGGGAGCAAGCGUUGUCCGGAUUUACUGGGUGUAAAGGGUGCGUAGCGGCUUUUUAAGUCGGGCGUGAGAGCUGUGGGCUUAACCCACAAAUUGCGUUCGAAACUGGGAGGCUUGAUUGACGUAGAUGUAGGCGGAAUUCCCGGUGUAGCGUUGAAAUGCGUAGAGAUCGGGAGGAACACCAGUGGCGAAGGCGGCCUACUGGGCUUUAACUGACGCUGAGGCACGGAAGCCUGGGUAGCAAACAGGAUUAGAUACGCUGGUAGUCCAUGCCGUAAACGAUGAUUACUAGGUGUGGGGGGUCUGACCCCUUCCGUGCCGGAGUUAACACAAUAAGUGAUCCACCUGGGGAGUACGGCCGCCAGGUUGAAACUCAAAGGAAUUGACGGGGGCCCGCACAAGCAGUGGAGUAUGUGGUUUAAUUCGAAGCAACGCGAAGAACCUUACCAGGUCUUGACAUCCAACUAACGAGGCAGAGAUGCAUUAGGUGGCUUCGGGGAAAGUUGAGACAGGUGGUGCAUGGUUGUCGUCAGCUCGUGUCGUGAGAUGUUGGGUUAAGUCCCGCAACGAGCGCAACCCUUGUGAUUAGUCGUACGCAAGAGCACUCUAAUCAGACUGCCGUUGACAAAACGGAGGAAGGUGGGGACGACGUCAAAUCAUCAUGCCCCUUAUGACCUGGGCUACACACGUACUACAAUGGUCGCUAACAGAGGGAAGCCAAGCCGCGAGGUGGAGCAAACCCCCAAAAGCGAUCUCAGUUCGGAUUGUAGGCUGCAACCCGCCUACAUGAAGUUGGAAUUGCUAGUAAUCGCGGAUCAUCAUGCCGCGGUGAAUACGUUCCCGGGCCUGGUACACACCGCCCGUCACACCAUGGGAGCCGGUAAUACCCGAAGCCAAUAGUCUAACCGCAAGGGGGACGUGUCUAAGGUGAU
Molecule: ribosomal RNA, 1392 nt
Filed under: Faecalispora sporosphaeroides
Lineage: Bacteria; Bacillati; Bacillota; Clostridia; Eubacteriales; Oscillospiraceae
Also listed under: 1 other name
Description: bacterial SSU rRNA
Rfam family: Bacterial small subunit ribosomal RNA
Source: RNAcentral